This 497-nucleotide ribosomal RNA is filed under the name uncultured bacterium. RNAcentral's name for it is "partial 16S ribosomal RNA". It matches the Rfam family "Bacterial small subunit ribosomal RNA", at positions 28 to 507 of the family's 1533-position model. The record is from RNAcentral.
GAUGAACGCUGGCGGCGUGCCUAAUACAUGCAAGUCGAGCGAACGGACGAGAAGCUUGCUUCUCUUAUGUUAGCGGCGGACGGGUGAGUCACACGUGGAUAACCUACCUAUAAGGCUGGGAUACCUUCGGGAAACCUGAGCUCAUACCGGAUCAUAUUUUGAACCGCAUGGUUCAAAAGUCAAAGACGUUCUUGCUGUCACUUAUAGAUGGAUCCGCGCUGCAUUAGCUAGUUGGUAAGGUAACGGCUUACCAAGGCAACGAUGCGUAGCCGACCUGAGAGGGUGAUCGGCCACACUGGAACUGAGACACGGUCCAGACUCCUACGGGAGGCAGCAGUAGGGAAUCUUCCGCAAUGGGCGAAAGCCUGACGGAGCAACGCCGCGUGAGUGAUGAAGGUCUUCGGAUCGUAAAACUCUGUUAUUAGGGAAGAACGUCUGUGUAAGUAACUGUGCACGUCUUGACGGUACCUAAUCAGAAAGCCACGGCUAACUACGUG